CUUGCUGGGGGGAUUAGUGGCGAACGGGUGAGUAACACGUGAGUAACCUGCCCUUGACUCUGGGAUAAGCGUUGGAAACGACGUCUAAUACCGGAUACGACCAGCCUCGGCAUCGGGUGUUGGUGGAAAGAAUUUUGGUCAAGGAUGGACUCGCGGCCUAUCAGGUAGUUGGUGAGGUAAUGGCUCACCAAGCCUACGACGGGUAGCCGGCCUGAGAGGGUGACCGGCCACACUGGGACUGAGACACGGCCCAGACUCCUACGGGAGGCAGCAGUGGGGAAUAUUGCACAAUGGGCGAAAGCCUGAUGCAGCAACGCCGCGUGAGGGACGACGGCCUUCGGGUUGUAAACCUCUUUUAGCAGGGAAGAAGCGAAAGUGACGGUACCUGCAGAAAAAGCACCGGCUAACUACGUGCCAGCAGCCGCGGUAAUAC
Molecule: ribosomal RNA, 433 nt
Filed under: bacterium AET52A
Lineage: Bacteria
Description: bacterial SSU rRNA
Rfam family: Bacterial small subunit ribosomal RNA
Source: RNAcentral